CGCAUCUGUGCAUGCAGCAUAUCAAUAAGCGGAGGAAAAGAAACUAACAAGGAUUCCCUUAGUAACGGCGAGUGAAGCGGGAAGAGCUCAAAUUUGAAAUCUUCAAGGUUUUACCUUGACGAAUUGUAGUUUAAAGAAGUGUUUUCUGUUGAAGUUUUGGUAAAAGUUCUUUGGAAUAGGACAUCAUAGAGGGUGAGAAUCCCGUAUUUGACCAUUAUUUUCAGCUGUGUGAUACACUUUCAAGAGUCGGAUUGUUUGGGAAUGCAGUCCAAAAUGGGUGGUAAAUUUCAUCUAAAGCUAAAUAUUGGCGAGAGACCGAUAGCGAACAAGUACCGUGAGGGAAAGAUGAAAAGAACUUUGAAAAGAGAGUUAAACAGUACGUGAAAUUGUCAAAAGGGAAGCGUUUGACACCAGUGUUGUUUUCUCGAAAAUCAAUUAAAAAGAGUUAGAUUUUGUUGUGUAUUGACCUUAACAGCUUGCAUUUCAAUUUUCUUGCUUUUUUUAAUGCACUUUUCGUUUAACAAGUCAACAUCAGUUUCUUUUGUUGUAAAAAGGUCAUUGGAAGGUGGCUUUCUUUUCGGAGAAAGUGUUUAUAGCCUUUGACUCCUGCAAUCGGAGAGACUGAGGUCUGCAGCGUAGAUCCUUCGGGGUUAGAUACAUUUGUGCUAAGUUAUAGCUUUUUAUAGACAACUUGUUGACUAUGAUUAGUCUUGUAGCUUACUCGCUUAUGCUAUUUUACCUACGCUUAGGAUGUUGACACACGCGCGUGCUCG
Molecule: ribosomal RNA, 773 nt
Filed under: uncultured Neocallimastigales
Lineage: Eukaryota; Fungi; Neocallimastigomycota; Neocallimastigomycetes; Neocallimastigales
Description: partial large subunit ribosomal RNA
Rfam family: Eukaryotic large subunit ribosomal RNA
Source: RNAcentral